GAGGUUGUGGCUCAGUGGUAGAGCACUUGCCUUGCAUGCAGAGACACUGGGAUCCAUCCUCA
This 62-nucleotide transfer RNA is filed under the name Ictidomys tridecemlineatus (thirteen-lined ground squirrel). RNAcentral's name for it is "Spermophilus tridecemlineatus (thirteen-lined ground squirrel) tRNA". It matches the Rfam family "tRNA". Rfam says of the family: Transfer RNA (tRNA) molecules are approximately 80 nucleotides in length. Their secondary structure includes four short double-helical elements and three loops (D, anti-codon, and T loops). The record is from Rfam by way of RNAcentral. Lineage: Eukaryota; Metazoa; Chordata; Mammalia; Rodentia; Sciuridae.